CUCACAUUCUUCUUUAUCUUUAGUAUAAAUCCUUACAAACCAUGUAAAAAGAGUCGCUUUUCUCAAGAUGGUUAUUUUAGAGGACGUUGAAGAUCUGAAGAGGCUUUGGUGAAGAAACUGAUCCUUUGGCUGGAGUCGAUGACAGUGUAUCAAGCAAAUGUGAGGCCAAGUUCAAGCACAACCAUCCAUUCCUCAAAUAUCUACGACCUCUUCCAACAAAAGCAGGAAUGGUCUUCUAGCCCGGUCAGCUGUGUUCAGGUUAAAGCGGUGUUGUUGGGUGACCUCAGGUCAGCAGAGAAAAACUUGCCCAUAUCAGUUCUGUAUUUCAAACUUAGUCAUUAUGUUAGUUCUUUGUUAACUUGGUGAUUGCCACAGUGCGUUGAAAUGGAAUAAAACAUCAUAGCUACUACAUGAAUAACAAUCAGAGGUGGAACAUAGAGAAAUCUGAACUUCCAAAUACUUAGUGGUGAUCAAAUAUUAAAGACUGAAACUCAGCCAUGUUCUUAAAGCAAACUUUAUGGGAAAGGACAGGAGUAGGGGAGUAUGUUGUUCUUGAUCUUAAAGAAUCUGUUCUAACUUAUAAAAGCGUAAGAAUAUAAAGCUUGAAGGGUUUUUCAUGUCCUUAGUCUGAAAUCAGAUUCACCUCCAGCCCUUGCAUGUAUUUGAAGUUGGUGUGGGUUGAGGUGAACACCUGGCUAUUUUAGAAAGGUUUUAUUCCCCUCACCCAUUGUGAGCUUUCCCAUUCCCUAAAGCCUUCUCUUUAGUUACCACCUUGGUUUCAAUUCUUUUGAGUCACUGAAGCUCAUUGAAAACCAAAAGGGCAGCAGAAACCUUGAGGGAUGUUCAGUUUUUAAACCUGAAUAUCACAUGCAUAGGAGUAAGGUGUGGCACUUGGUAAACUAAAUACUGCUUUUGUGAUUGAAAAAAAUAGAUAAAUUGGCAAAAUGGACUGAGGAAUCUGCUUAGUUACAUUAUUAAAUGAAGAGGAUAAAAAGCCCUACAUGGUUUGACAAAUGUUGAUGUUAACACUGAGUCUCAAUCAAUGCAAUGAAUACUAGCUAUAAAGUGAAUCACUAGUGACCUACAUUACAGUUGUGGAUUAAAUCCUUUCUUAGAACCUACCAUGUCUGUUGUGAGUUAUUGUAUAGGAGGAGAAUCUGGUCUAAACUUUCUAUACUAAUUGUACUUUAUUCAUUGUUUUGUUUUCCAGUUUAUCCAUGCCAGUUUACAUUAAUAUUGUGGAGAAUUGUACUUUGCAGUAUGCUCAUGCUAAGAUUAGCAACACAGCAUGCCAGAGUGCUGUGCCUUGCCAGGUACUUACAGCCAGGUUACACUUGUGGCUCAGGGACUGCAUAUCUUUUAAAAUAGGACACUGAGUGAGGAUGGCUACGGUAUUUGAAACUGUUCACGGGUGUGGAGAAAUUGCUUUGUCUGCAGAGACUGUUUCUGUACAUUUCAGCUGUAAUGGCCAUUACAUAAGCCCAGCACUUCUAAAUAUUUCUAAUUGGUGCCCUGUGUAAAUAAAAGCA
Long non-coding RNA from Nothoprocta perdicaria, 1529 nucleotides. RefSeq lists it as uncharacterized. NCBI's taxonomy places the organism in Eukaryota, Metazoa, Chordata, Aves, Tinamiformes, Tinamidae. The transcript has 2 exons. The record is from RefSeq and is a predicted model, not a curated record.